This is a non-coding RNA of Physcomitrium patens, 2944 nucleotides long. Lineage: Eukaryota; Viridiplantae; Streptophyta; Bryopsida; Funariales; Funariaceae. The record is from RefSeq and is a predicted model, not a curated record.
AUUUUCCUGAGAUCCCUAAUUUCAUGUUUCUGAGUUGGUUCGAUUGCUUCCUGACAAGUGACCACACAACUUUAGUGAAUUUCAUGGAGAUUAUCAAAUUUGCUGUGAUAGUGCUGCCUCUUUUGCUUACGAGUGCCUCUCCACGACCUUCUGGUUUUUCUUCCUGUGAAGUCUUGUCUUGGUUGAUCUUGUCUGUCCUUGUCUCUAUAGCCCAAGGGUGUGACCAGGAUCGUCAUGAGGAGGAAAAGGAAGCUAAGUGAAGAUUUAAGUCCCAGAGUUUCCAACUUGGGUAGUCAAGAUGAGUGGUGUCCUGAGAAUGACUCUCAGGAAUGAUUCAGCUGAGGUCGCGAAUGUGACUUUACAGAUGAUGUUGCGAUUUGAGGGCAUCAUUCUUCGGCAAAUUUUGUUCAGAAUUUUGAGGAAAUCGAGAGUCGGGAUGAUUGGGUAUGCUUGUCAUAGGGGAGUUGUGCACUGAUUGAGGAUUUGAAUCGAGUUUUGGCAUCUUCUGGUUUGAGGAUUCCUCGGUCGAAAGCUGAUCAGUCAGUUGAAGAUUCUUCAUCAAGGCAAGUGAUUGUGGAUUCUUUGAAAGAUUAGAUCGAGCUUGAGAUUCAUUAUGUUGUCAGUGAGUUUGUAUUUGAAGGAGCCAUACUUCGGAAGACGAUUGAUGAGGUCAGAGUUGUUGCUUUCUUCCUGUGUGGAUUGUUGGAAGAUCUUUUACAAUUGAUAAUUCCAAAGCUAAGCUAUGAUUCUAAGACUAAUAAUGCCCUAUUUUGUUUACUUCAUGCUUUGAGGAUGGUGUCGCGAGCUUGGAAGAAAUGGUUGACUGAGGAUAGGAAGGAUUUUGUAGAAAUUGAACAUGAUGAGAAUAUGUAUGCUAUUACUACUGCUAUAGAAUGGGAUUUAUUAGUAGAGGCUUACCGAUACGAGCAACAGCUAGAGGAGAUGAGGUGAAAUUAGGUAGUUGUCUUCAGUCUUCAGGAUUGUGCUUCUUCCAUGGAAAUAUUUAACCUUGAUCUGAAUUUGUCGAAUAGACCUCCUCCCAGUGGUUUUGUGAAGAUGUCGGCUACUUGAUCUAGAGAAGGCACAUAUAUCAAGUUGAUUUCUCCUGUUUCAAUUCUCUCCCUUGUGAAAUGGUGAUGUGUUCGUAUGUGUUUGCCAGGUGAUUGGACUUGUUCCCAUUUUGAAUACAAAACCUAUUGUUGAUUGACCAUCAGAUAAGUCACCUGCCCAGUUAGUGUCCACAAACUUUGAUAGUGUUGUUGUUGAAUUUUUGUUGUGGAGAAUUCCAUAGUCUAAUGUUCUCGUGAUGUAUCUCAAGAUUCUUUUGGCUGCUCUUAGAUAUGGUACUUGUGGUUUCAUUAUAAAUCGACUGACAAUUCCAACUGAGUAUGAAACAUCUAGUCUGGAAUGUCCUAAUUGUAUUGCCAACUAUGGAUCGAUAAUACAUUGGAUCGACAUUUUCUGCAUUCAUGUCAAGUGUGAGUUUUACCCAUUCCACCAAGGGGGUGGAAAUUGAUUGGCAUUCUUCAUGGCCAAAAUGACGAAUUACUUGCAGGGCAUAGCUUUGUUGUGUCAUGAAUAGCCCUUUGGGGACUUUGAUUAUUUCAGCCUUGAGGUAUAGUGUCAUAUUAUUUUCACCUAGUUCUGAUAUUCAAAUUUUGGUUCAAAUUGUAAUUUGAAUCAUGUGAUGCAUUCGAUGCAGUUCCUUGUGAAUAAGAGAUCAUCUAUAUAAAGGACUAAGAGAAGGAUUUUUUCUUGGUGAUUGAUCAUACAGAGAUUGUAGUCCUCUUCUCCUUUAGUGAAGCCUUGGUUGCAAAGAAAUGAGUCAAUUUUAUCAUGCCAGGUUUUGGGUGCUUGACGUAAACCAUAGAGGACCUUGUGAAGUUUACAUACUAGAUAUUCUUGUCCUUCAAUUACAAAUCCUUGAGGUUGUGUGAUGUAGACUUCUUCUUUGAGGUCACCAUGGAGAAAUGCCGUCUUCACAUCCAUGUGGUAAAGUUGCCAUUGAUUUUUUGCAGAGAGGGCCAAAAGCAUUCGUAUAGUACCCCAUUUGACUAUUGGAGCAAAUAUCUCUUCAUAAUCAACACCUUGUUGUUCAAAUCCUCGAACUACUAAUUGUGAUUUUUUAUUGUGUAAGGUACCAUCAGGUUUCAUUUUUGCCUUGAACACCCAUUUUGUUGAGAUAGCUUGGUGCCCAAGAGGAAGCCUUGGGUAGUCGACAGCGGCAUUGGAGUCGAAACCAGCAGAUUUGUGAUUGAAUCUUCAGAACCGUCAUCGCUGGAGUUGUCAGAAUGGAUGGAGUGGCAAGGGAAGGCAGUUUCCAUUUGCAAGCUUUGGUUAGUGAGUGCGGCCUCGGGAUCAUGUGAGUUUGGAAAACUGGUUUCAUCAAAUGAGACGUCCUUUGUAAUUUAUAUUUUCUUGUAUGCGAGGAGAUAAACUCUGUAAGCCUUCGACUCAUUGUCCAGUCCGAAGUAGAUGCCGAGGUUGGAGCGCGACUCCAGCUUGUUUCGCUGUGUGUGAUCGCGGCCUACAAAGCACAAACAGCCAAAGACCUUGAGUGGACUGAGAUCGGGUGUGUUACUUGUGAAUAGUUCGUGGGGGGUGCGAUUGUUGUUCGACGUUGUCGGACUAUAGUUGAUUAGUUGGACCGCGGUGUGAGCGGCUUCUGCCCAGAGGGAGUACAAAACCUUGUCGCCGAGAAGCAUGGCUCUAACUUUGAUCAUGACAGUGCGGUUCUUUCUUUCGGAUUUCAAAUUCUAUUUGGGUGUCCGUGCUACUGUUAAUUGUCAAAUGAUACCGUGCUGGUGUAAGUAGCUAGUGAAAUCGGCCAAUAGAAACUCCCCUCCGAGGUCGGAUCUAAUGCAUAGAAUUCGAAAUGGUGUUUGUUCCUCGAUCAUUUUAUGAAAUUUCUGAAAAAAAUGCAGAGUUUGGUCCUUUGUUGUCA